UUAAGCUGCUGGGCUAUGUUCACAUGUAAUACUAAACCAUGGUUUAAUAAGCCAUGUUUCAUGCUAUGUGUGAACAAGGCAAAAGGAAGUGAUGGGCAAAUAAUGAUGCUGAAAUUCUGGAACAAAGAAGGGCAUUCUCUGUGAGAUACUGCUUGCUCUGUGGAGAAUGCUAAAUUACUCAGGCUGAAAUUCUAUACUCAGUUUCCUGAAUGUAAGUGCUAUUGAACUCAAUGGCGCUUACUUCUGAGUAGACAUGUCUUGGAUUGCAGUGACGUACAUCUACAUAAGUAGAAGAUAACACAAAAUUAUUCACAGGAAUGUGAGUGAGGCAGCUGGCUUGAACAGAUGAAAAACUGAUUCAAAUUGCUGAAAUGUGGAGAACUAAAUUCAAGACUGGAAAAUGAGAAGCUGAAAGAACCAAAAGUGACAGAUCCUUGCAUCCCUACUCAGGUGUCUUUGCCAGGCUCUGAGGCCAGAAGAGUCCUGACAGCAGGGGGAAAUGGCCAUUUGUACCAGAGAACAGGUGAGCACAGGAAGAGUUAAG
Long non-coding RNA from Rhineura floridana, 544 nucleotides. RefSeq lists it as uncharacterized. The record is from RefSeq and is a predicted model, not a curated record. Lineage: Eukaryota; Metazoa; Chordata; Lepidosauria; Squamata; Rhineuridae. The transcript has 3 exons.